RNAcentral lists this ribosomal RNA (639 nucleotides) under Triticum aestivum (bread wheat). Its description in RNAcentral is "partial small subunit ribosomal RNA". Lineage: Eukaryota; Viridiplantae; Streptophyta; Magnoliopsida; Poales; Poaceae. The record is from RNAcentral.
AUGCAACCGGAACAAAAGAAAGCUAGGAUAGAAAAAAUUAAAGCUAAUCGUGAAUUGAAGCGCAACAUGCCAAGUAAAGAUUCAAUUGCGAUGGAGAACCCUGCAUAUAUUGCAACCGAGCAGGAAGUUAGUACAUCUCCCUGUACUGUAAAACAUGGAAAGCAUGUGACAGCGGGUGAAAGACAAACGCUGCUACACCGUCAUAACGAAGAAUUCGCAGCAAGACAGAUGAAAUCAUCACAAGAAGAUAGAUCCAUGUCGGAAAAUGACAACGAUGACAACGAACCUCCCGAACAACCAGAAGUCACGAUUAAUGGUAAAAAUCUAAAAUUUAUACAAUACUCUCGCAUUCCAAAAAUAUAUGAAACCGCAUAUGUAACUAACCAUCUUUUGUGGACAGACAUCCCCCUCUCUAUAAUGUUUCCAUCCAUUAAAGAAGCGGAUGCCCAAACACAAACAGCCUACAACGACGAUCACAGUAAGGUGGCUUUUUGGCCAGGCAUCCCCACUUCAAUGUGUCCAACAAUCAAAGAAGUAAAUGCACGAAUACAAUCAUUCUACAAUAAUGGUCACGGUAAGGUUAUCAAUUUCAUAUUUACUUUUAUGCAAUACAAAAAUUAUAUAUUAAAAAAUUACUAA